AGAAGCGAUCAUUCAGCAAAGUAAAAAAAUUUAAAAACUGCAAGGUUAAAAAAAACUGAAACAAGACCCACGUUGUGUACUCUUCAUCGGCGCUCUCUGUCUCUGAUCAUUCUCCUCUAUUUCGUCUUUCUUCCAGGUAUCUGCAAUUUUACAUCUCAGUAACUCGAUGCAUUUCCAGAGGCAACAUUAAUCUGAUUCUAUGUUCGUGCAUUCGGGGGUUCAAUUCGUCGGCCACAACAUUGUUAAACCAUGGGAGGAUUCUGCUAAUGUGAUCGACCAAGGGAGGUCAAAGAGCAGAAUUGCUCUACUUCAUCACUAUUUUUGAAGGUACGAGAGCAACAAUUUGUACCAAGACAGUACACUACAAGGAAAUACAGCAAUUUGUGGGAGUCAAACAACUUCUCAACCAAAUGCUUUGAACCCUGUGGCACAGCAGCUCUCGAAUGAUCUUAGCAUUGCAACUCAAGAAUUAAUGGCUUCUUCACAGCCAUGAAGGGUGAAGCAUCUACAAUUACUAUCUAUGGAGUUGCGCAAUGUGCUGAAACCAUAACAGAAAAUGGAUGCCAAGAUUGUUUGACAAUUGCAUACAAGAAUAGAGAAGGCUCUUUGCCUAAAUAUGUUGAAGGAAGGGCUAUAAAUUCAGUGUGUUUUAUAAGGUGCUCGGAUAAAACAUUUUUUUUUUUGUUGAUAACAAGACAACUGUAUCACGCCAUUUCUUGGUGGAGGACGUAGGAAAUGGACCUCCCUUUUUCUCACCUCUUACUAGUAUUAGUUUAUUCCAGUAUUUGUUUAACGGUAUAGCGAUUUUGUCAUAGGCACGUGUUUGUUUCCCUGUUUUCUUUUCUUCUCGAUUAAUAUAGAUAUGGAUUUGGACUAAAAUAUGGACUUUUAAAUUGAAAUUAACAUAA
Molecule: long non-coding RNA, 908 nt
Organism: Lycium barbarum (goji berry)
Lineage: Eukaryota; Viridiplantae; Streptophyta; Magnoliopsida; Solanales; Solanaceae
Exons: 3
Source: RefSeq, a predicted model, not a curated record